UAGGAAAGAAACUUACAGGUGCUGUGAUAGAGAAGAACUGGAGGACUGGGGCUGGAUAAGUAACCUGGGAAGGUCUCUACGAGGGUUUAGUCCUGCUGAAGAUAUCAAAAAAUAACCUAUUUACAAACACGAUUUUUAAAAUGGCAAUCCAACUCAACACCCAAAGA
Molecule: long non-coding RNA, 167 nt
Filed under: Zalophus californianus (California sea lion)
Lineage: Eukaryota; Metazoa; Chordata; Mammalia; Carnivora; Otariidae
Description: lncRNA (ENSZCAG00015011878.1)
Source: RNAcentral